This 492-nucleotide ribosomal RNA is filed under the name uncultured bacterium. Its description in RNAcentral is "partial 16S ribosomal RNA". It matches the Rfam family "Bacterial small subunit ribosomal RNA", at positions 29 to 507 of the family's 1533-position model. The record is from RNAcentral.
AGUGAACGCUGGCGGUAGGCCUAACACAUGCAAGUCGAACGGCAGCACAGUAAGAGCUUGCUCUUACGGGUGGCGAGUGGCGGACGGGUGAGGAAUACAUCGGAAUCUACUUUUUCGUGGGGGAUAACGUAGGGAAACUUACGCUAAUACCGCAUACGACCUACGGGUGAAAGCAGGGGAUCUUCGGACCUUGCGCGAUUGAAUGAGCCGAUGUCGGAUUAGCUAGUUGGCGGGGUAAAGGCCCACCAAGGCGACGAUCCGUAGCUGGUCUGAGAGGAUGAUAAGCCACACUGGAACUGAGACACGGUCCAGACCCCUACGGGAGGCAGCAGUGGGGAAUAUUGGACAAUGGGCGCAAGCCUGAUCCAGCCAUACCGCGUGGGUGAAGAAGGCCUUCGGGUUGUAAAGCCCUUUUGUUGGGAAAGAAAAGCAGCAGGUUAAUACCCCGCUGUUCUGACGGUACCCAAAGAAUAAGCACCGGCUAACUUCGUG